UGGGUGUUCAUGGCUGCAGGAUGACUCUGAUGUCGGAGACUUUUCUUUGGCGACAUUGUGUUUAAGUUAGAACUGUUCCUUGACAUUACUUUGUCUGCACGCAAAAAAGAAUUAACCAGGAUUAAAAAAAAUUACUAAACAAGAUAAUUAAAGGAGAUAAAGAAAGGAGAUCUGACCGUGGUUGAGAACAAAUGUGACGGGAAACCUUCUGGGCGGAC
This 218-nucleotide long non-coding RNA is filed under the name Zostera marina. RNAcentral's name for it is "long non-coding RNA (ZMAR_LNC005082)". Lineage: Eukaryota; Viridiplantae; Streptophyta; Magnoliopsida; Alismatales; Zosteraceae. The record is from RNAcentral.